This 424-nucleotide ribosomal RNA is filed under the name uncultured bacterium. RNAcentral's name for it is "partial 16S ribosomal RNA". It matches the Rfam family "Bacterial small subunit ribosomal RNA", at positions 360 to 776 of the family's 1533-position model. The record is from RNAcentral.
AAUAUUGGACAAUGGGCGCAAGCCUGAUCCAGCAAUGCCGCGUGGGUGAAGAAGGCCUUAGGGUUGUCCCGCCCUUUUGUACGGGAAGAAAGCUUUCGGGUUAAUACCCUGGGAGGAUGACGGUACCGUAAGAAUAAGCACCGGCUAACUUCGUGCCAGCAGCCGCGGUAAUACGAAGGGUGCAAGCGUUAAUCGGAAUUACUGGGCGUAAAGCGUGCGUAGGUGGUUGUUUAAGUCUGUCGUGAAAGCCCUGGGCUCAACCUGGGAAUGGCGAUGGAUACUGGGCGACUAGAGUGUGGUAGAGGAUGGCGGAAUUCCCGGUGUAGCGGUGAAAUGCGUAGAGAUCGGGAGGAACAUUCGUGGCGAAGGCGGCCAUCUGGACCAACACUGACACUGAGGUACGAAAGCGUGGGGAGCAAACAGG